This 1260-nucleotide long non-coding RNA is filed under the name Pan troglodytes (chimpanzee). RNAcentral describes it as "lincRNA". Lineage: Eukaryota; Metazoa; Chordata; Mammalia; Primates; Hominidae. The record is from RNAcentral.
GUCUGGAAACGGCAGCUUCUGAGAGUUUACAAUGUUUCACCAAUUGUCGUCCAAAUAAGUCGUCACCCCUGUCAGAGUAGUUGCAGCUCUGCCGUUACCCACCGCUGUCACUGUGGCCGUUUUAUUCGCGAGGGUUACAGUUCUGUUUAGCAUGCAUCUAAUGACUUAAGACUCCACGCAAGUAAAACGGAGUUUCCUCCCAUUAAGUAUUGGCUUUGCUUUAACAGUGCUUUGAGAGGCUCUGUGUGGCCAACAUAUCUUCUCAUAUCUUUGUCCUCGUUUCCCAAUCUCCGCGUGGUGAAAUCAUCUAUCAAGACUUGGCUUAAAGGACCUCUCUUCUGCAAAUAAUGCCAUCUUCCGCUAGGUGCUCACUGCACACAGACUCGCCGCCCACCACUUCUGUCCACCUUCUGAACUCCGAUAGUUAUUUACCCAGGGACUGUUUCUCAUCUUUAAGUGUCUUGAAGACUUUAAGAUCUGUUUUAUCUCUCUAUACCCCAAAAUGGCCUAGCACAGUAACUAGGACAUUGUAGGUGCUCAAUAAAUGUUUGUCGAAUAUCAAUGACAGCAGGAGGCAGUAAAUGGUCCCUCUUUGUAGGGCCUACAGCUGUGCCUGAGUAGGAUGUACAGAAGUCCUGCAUACGUGUGAAAUGUCUCCAGGAAGCUGCACUGGAGGGGACAGGAAAUGUGGGUAAUCGUAUGGUGCAAGUGGUAGCAAAAAAGACAACAUAAGGAAAAUGUUAUUUAGGUUUUGCCCAGUCUUGCUGUUUAAAGCCCUGUGUUAGAUGCUUUUCAUGCGUUAUUUUACUGAAUGUAAACAACCACCUUAUUAAAUAUACUCACUUUUUUAAAACGAAGAAACACGUACUGGCCGGUCACAGUGGCUCACGCCUGUAAUCUCAGCACUUUGCGGGGCCGAGGCGGGUGGAUCACGAGGUCAGGAGUACAAGACCAGCCUGGCCAAGAUGGUGAAACCCCGUCUCUACUAAAAAUACAAAAAUUAGCCGGGCGUGGUGGCGGGUCCCUGUAAUCCCAGCUACUCGGGAGGCGGAGGCAGGAGAAUCGCUUGAACCUGCGGGGCGGAGGUUGCAGUGAGCCGGGAUCGCACCACUGCACUCUAGCCUGGGCAACAGAGUGAGACUCCAUCUCAAAAAAAUAAAAAAAAAGAAAGAAAGAAAAAAAAGAAAGAAACAAGUACUGAAAAAGCUAAGUAAUUUGCCCAAUUUUAUACCAUCAAUAAAAGGGAGCUGUAAGCUUUGG